This 462-nucleotide ribosomal RNA is filed under the name uncultured bacterium. RNAcentral's name for it is "partial 16S ribosomal RNA". It matches the Rfam family "Bacterial small subunit ribosomal RNA", at positions 28 to 507 of the family's 1533-position model. The record is from RNAcentral.
GACGAACGCUGGCGGCGUGCUUAACACAUGCAAGUCGAGCGGAAAGGCCCUUCGGGGUACUCGAGCGGCGAACGGGUGAGUAACACGUGGGUAACCUGCCCCAGACUUUGGGAUAACCCUCGGAAACGGGGGCUAAUACCGGAUACGACACAGCUUCGCAUGGGGUCUGUGUGGAAAGGUUUUCGGUUUGGGAUGGGCUCGCGGCCUAUCAGCUUGUUGGUGGGGUGAUGGCCUACCAAGGCGACGACGGGUAGCCGGCCUGAGAGGGCGACCGGCCACACUGGGACUGAGACACGGCCCAGACUCCUACGGGCGGCAGCAGUGGGGAAUAUUGCACAAUGGGCGGAAGCCUGAUGCAGCGACGCCGCGUGAGGGAUGACGGCCUUCGGGUUGUAAACCUCUUUCAGCAGGGACGAAGCGUAAGUGACGGUACCUGCAGAAGAAGCGCCGGCCAACUACGUG